UACGAAGGGGGCUAGCGUUGCUCGGAAUUACUGGGCGUAAAGCGCACGUAGGCGGCUUUCUAAGUCGGGGGUGAAAUCCUGGAGCUCAACUCCAGAACUGCCCUCGAUACUGGAAAGCUCGAGUCCGGGAGAGGUGAGUGGAACUGCGAGUGUAGAGGUGAAAUUCGUAGAUAUUCGCAAGAACACCAGUGGCGAAGGCGGCUCACUGGCCCGGUACUGACGCUGAGGUGCGAAAGCGUGGGGAGCAAACAGG
RNAcentral lists this ribosomal RNA (253 nucleotides) under uncultured bacterium. Its description in RNAcentral is "partial 16S ribosomal RNA". It matches the Rfam family "Bacterial small subunit ribosomal RNA", at positions 524 to 776 of the family's 1533-position model. The record is from RNAcentral.